CCUACGGGGGGCAGCAGUGGGGAAUAUUGCACAAUGGGGGAAACCCUGAUGCAGCGACGCCGCGUGAGUGAAGAAGUAUUUCGGUAUGUAAAGCUCUAUCAGCAGGGAAGAAGAAAGACGGUACCUGACUAAGAAGCCCCGGCUAACUACGUGCCAGCAGCCGCGGUAAUACGUAGGGGGCAAGCGUUAUCCGGAUUUACUGGGUGUAAAGGGAGCGUAGGUGGUGUGGUAAGUCAGAUGUGAAAGCCCGAGG
RNAcentral lists this ribosomal RNA (253 nucleotides) under uncultured Coprococcus sp. RNAcentral's name for it is "partial 16S ribosomal RNA". It matches the Rfam family "Bacterial small subunit ribosomal RNA", at positions 338 to 607 of the family's 1533-position model. Lineage: Bacteria; Bacillati; Bacillota; Clostridia; Lachnospirales; Lachnospiraceae. The record is from RNAcentral.